GCUUCGGUGGCCUCAGUGGUUAGAUAGUGCGCCUCUGAUGCGGGAGGUCGUGGGUUCGAACCCUGACCGAGUCA
Potamilus streckersoni is the source of this 74-nucleotide non-coding RNA. NCBI's taxonomy places the organism in Eukaryota, Metazoa, Mollusca, Bivalvia, Unionida, Unionidae. The record is from the annotation of a GenBank genome assembly.